Molecule: unclassified non-coding RNA, 206 nt
Filed under: fungal sp.
Lineage: Eukaryota; Fungi
Description: partial internal transcribed spacer region
Rfam family: Eukaryotic small subunit ribosomal RNA (bases 1-46)
Source: RNAcentral
AAGUCGUAACAAGGUCUCCGUAGGUGAACCUGCGGAGGGAUCAUUGGAAGUAAUAAGCUUGAGCGAAGCGAAAGCUUAUUGGUUUGUUUACGAAGUUACAGUUUGUUCUUUUUUUGACAAUACCUUGCAACUCUAUACAGACAGCAUUUACACAUACAACAAAACAAAUCUAACAACAACUCCUAACAAUGGAUAUCUAGGCUCUC